AGCGGCGGACGGGUGAGUAACGCGUGGGCAACCUGCCCCAUACAGAGGGAUAGCCACUGGAAACGGUGAUUAAUACCUCAUAAGUCAGUAGUGCCGCAUGGCAUAGCUGACAAAGAUUUAUCGGUAUGGGAUGGGCCCGCGUCUGAUUAGCUAGUUGGUGAGGUAACGGCUCACCAAGGCGACGAUCAGUAGCCGACCUGAGAGGGUGAUCGGCCACACUGGAACUGAGACACGGUCCAGACUCCUACGGGAGGCAGCAGUGGGGAAUAUUGCACAAUGGGCGCAAGCCUGAUGCAGCAACGCCGCGUGAGUGAUGAAGGCCUUCGGGUUGUAAAACUCUGUCCUAUGGGAAGAAUAAAAUGACGGUACCAUAGGAGGAAGCCCCGGCUAACUACGUGCCAGCAGCCGCGGUAAUACGUAGGGGGCAAGCGUUAUCCGGAAUCACUGGGCGUAAAGGGUGCGUAGGUGGCUUAUCAAGCCAGAGGUGAAAGGCAUUGGCUCAACCAAUGUAAGCCUUUGGAACUGAUUAGCUUGAGUGCAGGAGAGGUAAGUGGAAUUCCUAGUGUAGAGGUGAAAUUCGUAGAUAUUAGGAGGAACACCAGUGGCGAAGGCGACUUACUGGACUGUAACUGACGCUGAGGCGCGAAAGCGUGGGUAGCGAACGGGAUUAGAUACCCUGGUAGUCCACGCC
This 691-nucleotide ribosomal RNA is filed under the name uncultured bacterium. RNAcentral describes it as "bacterial SSU rRNA". It matches the Rfam family "Bacterial small subunit ribosomal RNA", at positions 94 to 801 of the family's 1533-position model. The record is from RNAcentral.